AUGAAUGCUUUAGAAACUUUGUAAGCUCUUCAAUUUUCACAACGGGAUCUUCUAACCUAGUCGCGUUUUUUACAUCUUAAUUACAACUUAAUACCCUCUACCUGAUUAAGGCAUUUGGAGAACAAUCAACUACAAGGAUCGGUUCCUACAAAAUCACUGGGAGAAUUUCCUAAUCUGCAUGAAGUACUUCUCCAAAAUAACAAGCUCCAAGGCAACACCCAAACAUCUCUGACAAAGAAAGAUGGUGUUAACCUCAAGCUCACUUCGGCAAAUCAUCUGUCGGAGGAAGAAUAAUGUAAAACAUCAGAAGUUACGACUAUGUUAGCUUGGAAGGUGCGCUGGAGCUUUUCAUUUAUCAGUGAUUGUAUAAUACGAAUUUCGGAAUGUGAAUGUCACCAAGGAGAGAUUGAAGGGAGAAUUAUAUUCAACUGAUGCUUGUGUACUUUUUCUUAUUGGUAUUGUAACUUGUGAAUUGUAUCUAUCAUUCUACUAAUCCACAAGUUAUGUGAAGCUAAAUUGUAAA
This is a long non-coding RNA of Olea europaea var. sylvestris, 523 nucleotides long. RefSeq lists it as uncharacterized. NCBI's taxonomy places the organism in Eukaryota, Viridiplantae, Streptophyta, Magnoliopsida, Lamiales, Oleaceae. The transcript has 3 exons. The record is from RefSeq and is a predicted model, not a curated record.